ACGGACGCUGGCGGCGUGCCUAAUACAUGCAAGUAGAACGCUGAAGCUUGGUGCUUGCACCGAGCGGAUGAGUUGCGAACGGGUGAGUAACGCGUAGGUAACCUGCCUGGUAGCGGGGGAUAACUAUUGGAAACGAUAGCUAAUACCGCAUAAGAGUAGAUGUUGCAUGACAUUUGCUUAAAAGGUGCAAUUGCAUCACUACCAGAUGGACCUGCGUUGUAUUAGCUAGUUGGUGAGGUAACGGCUCACCAAGGCAACGAUACAUAGCCGACCUGAGAGGGUGAUCGGCCACACUGGGACUGAGACACGGCCCAGACUCCUACGGGAGGCAGCAGUAGGGAAUCUUCGGCAAUGGACGGAAGUCUGACCGAGCAACGCCGCGUGAGUGAAGAAGGGUUUCGGAUCGUAAAGCUCUGUUGUAAGAGAAGAACGAGUGUGAGAGUGGAAAGUUCACACUGUGACGGUAUCUUACCAGAAAGGGACGGCUAACUACGUG
This 496-nucleotide ribosomal RNA is filed under the name uncultured bacterium. RNAcentral describes it as "partial 16S ribosomal RNA". It matches the Rfam family "Bacterial small subunit ribosomal RNA", at positions 29 to 507 of the family's 1533-position model. The record is from RNAcentral.